This is a long non-coding RNA of Balaenoptera acutorostrata (minke whale), 1550 nucleotides long. RefSeq lists it as uncharacterized. The transcript is spliced from 6 exons. NCBI's taxonomy places the organism in Eukaryota, Metazoa, Chordata, Mammalia, Artiodactyla, Balaenopteridae. The record is from RefSeq and is a predicted model, not a curated record.
GAGGGGAGGAGCCGAGCGGCGUUCGCGGGAGGCAGCUUCCUCGACCUUCAGGCGCCCGGAGACAAGCGGGAGGACAGGAAUCUCUAAAGAGUGAGAGGAAAACUGAUGGCAGGCACUGCCCAAAGAAGAUGGAACUGUCAUAGUUGUUUUUGUUUAGGAUCUGCUUACCCCCCUGAGAACAUAAGCUUGAUGAAGGCAAGGACCGUUUCUAUCACUGUUGAAUCCCAGUUCCUGGUACAGUGCCUGGCACAUAGUGGAUGGUCAAUGGAUUUAUGAAUGAAUGAACAAAUUAACAAACAACCAUGGGGUGUGUGAAGAGCAGUAAAAAGACUGGACUAUUUGGAAAGAAGUGUCUUUCCUUGAGGAGUAGAGGAAUCUCUGAUUCUCCAACAGACUGGCAGAGGAACAAGUAAAUGGGCCUGCAUGGGAUUCAAAACACAGGGGCAAGUGGAACCAGCUGAACAAGAUAACAAUAGAGGUGAAGCCUAACCCUGGAAACCAGUCAAGAUUUCCAAAGAUAAACCCUCGGGCAGCAAGAACACUGUCAAUGAAAAGAAACUGACCUUUCGCCUUCUGGAGUCACAGAAUUCCCACAAAUGCUGUGUCCUCAUCAGCUCUGGCAGCCUCGCCACCACAGCCCAGACUUCGACGCCAAUUCAUAAACAGCACGGAGGGGGCUGUGCUAGAAGUCAGAGCUUCUCCACCUCCAGCACCUCAAAAUACAGGCUCCCUGCCACCCCAUUUUCUUCUAGAGGUUAACCUUCUCCCCAGGCUCACAAAGUUAUGAGAGCCUUUAAGGGGUUUUCCUCUGACAGUGUGGUCUAGUCUGCUGCUGCUGAAGAGACCUCAGGAUGGUCCCUAGGCUUUGUGAUUCAAAAUAAGGAGACCGGAUAAACAGAGACAAGACUGAAGAGGCAGAAGGAAAGGAGGAGAUGAACAAAAGACAGAACAGAAGAAAUGGAAAGUGAGGGGUUAAGACAGUGAGGAGCUCCAGAGCUGAUGAAAUGUAAGAAUCAGGCUCUGAGCUACUGUGCUGGGAUACCAAGAUGAGUAGGCCAUGGUCCCUGCCUUCAGGAAGUUAAAGUCUGGUGAGAGAGACAGAGAAGUCUACACAAUUUUCAUACCUAUGUUAACUGCUACAACAGAGAUAUCUCAUUCGGUAGAUAUUUAUUAACAAUUUACAAGUUUUAGGCACUAGGAAUGUUACAGUGAGCUAGACAGACACAAGCUCUACCUUAAUGGAGCUCAUGUCCAAUGGGAGGCCCAAGUUACAAGGGACACAGAAGAGGGGGCCCGAAUUCAAACUGAGAAUCAUCAGUAAAGGACUCCCGAAGGUUCUGAAGCUUCCACUGAAUCAUUUUGUUUUGUUUUGUUUUGUUUUUUAAAUUUUUGUCUGUGUUGGGUCUUCGUUGCUGUGCACGGGCUUUCUCUAGUUGCGGUGAGUGGGGGGCUACUCUUUGUUGCAGUGCGCGGGGCUCCUCAUUGUCGUGGCUUCUCAUCACGGAGCACGGGCUCUAGGCGCGCAGGCUUCAGUAGUUGUGGCACACGGG